Non-coding RNA from Arachis ipaensis, 160 nucleotides. The record is from RefSeq and is a predicted model, not a curated record. Lineage: Eukaryota; Viridiplantae; Streptophyta; Magnoliopsida; Fabales; Fabaceae.
AAAUAUUAUAAUAAUAAUUAAAGAGCAAUGCUAGGGGCAGCAAUUUUUGUGAUUGUUAGCCAUUAAUUAGUCAUCAAUGAUGAUUUGAUGGUGUGAGAUUGGUGUGAAAUUUCAUCUAAUGGCUCACCUUUCUCCGCUGAUUACAUGUUGGCCAAAAUUC